AAUAAUAGAACCACCUCCCAAGGUAGUCCAACACUCGUCUAGUGAAACCCUGUCUCCUCGACCCUAAGGGUUUCCGUUAGAAAUAUCUCAAGCAUCAGAAGUGCAGGUUCAUUUCGCACGAGCUCGAGAUAGACACCCUAUAACAAAAAGAUACCGUAGACACGCAACCCAUCCGAUGACAUAGAAAGUCUCUAAAAGCCAAUUGACAGGGAACACGAAACCAAAGAUAACCCGAGCUUCCUAAGAACCAACCUGAAGGACUACACUACCAGUAUGAGAGAGAACGUUAGGAACUUCGGAAUGGCGAUCACGCCAGUGAUGAUCUUUCCAUAGAAGUACACUAUGUUCUAAGUACUGAAAAGCUCUACCUUUCCGAGAGCUUAGGACCAUCUGAGAAUCCUCAUGGAGAUUUGGUCCAACCCUCGUCAGACCACUACUACUUUCGGAUAUUCCACAAGUUUCACACCAGAUCAAUCCACUUCUUAGACUUGAUAUGUGUUUACCCGACGUCACUCUUCAUAUCACACUCAUCUGGAUAGAAACCAUUGAGAACCCUAACCUCGUAGAUACACCAGUCGGAACUCGCUAACUACAUGAGACGAAAUCCGCAUCUCGUAGGUGAAGGUUUGUUGGAAUGACAAACACAGACCAGAUUUCACUUGGGAAUGCAAGGACAAACCGAAUAGGAAGUACCCUCCUACCUCUAUCAUUCAUACCUACUUCCUUGCCUAGACCUGAAUUUCGGGACGAAAUUCCCUCUAACGGGGGGAUGAUGUGACAACCCAAAGUUUAUUCCGUCACAUUACCCCAUUACCGUUAACGGCAUAUUCCAUUUUAUAAAAGUUCCGUUAAUUAGAGGUUGCCAAAUAAAUAAAUGUUUUAUUUAUUUAUAUUUAUGUCGUUAUAGUCGUAAUAAGAUAAGUAGAAAAAAAUUACUUUACAUUUCCAUCUCAAUUUGGGAAAAAGUAAAAUUGUAUUACGACCACUAAAUUGGGUGCGACCCAAAGCCCCGUUUAACGACAGUAUCGGGUAGAUUCCCACUGAGCUCCAACUCCAACCCGUAUAUAAGGGGGAAUGGACUUCAUUCCACCCCUUUUCACUCUCUCUAUACUCUCUCUCAUAAAAGCCCGAUUUCGUCUCAAAUCUGCAACCAAACGCUUCCAAAUCGUAAGUCCCCUUACCCUAGCUUGUUCGACACACCGUGGAUUGUUGUUGUACCCCAAAAAUCGAACUUAGAAGCUGUUGAAAAGGAGUUUACGGCCUAAGAGCCUCCUUAGGCCGUAAACCCCUAAAAAGAGGCCAAAAUGACCCAAAUUUGUCCCUAAAAGCUUGGAAACUAAUUGAGGAUUUAGCCUAGGAAUGUUUGCACCUCAAAACCAUCAUUUUUGGGACAUAAAAGAGGGUUUACGGCCCAAGCACAUGCUUAGGCCGUAAACACCCUCUAAACUUGUAAAAUCAUGUCCAAAACACUCCCAAACCAUCCUUAGGCUUAAUACAUAAAUUACGGGCUUGUUAUUUCGGGUUUAGAACAUUUAUAAUCAAAGUUUAAAGGGGUGGAUGAAAGUUCACGGCCAAGCCAAGAGCUUACGGCCGUAAACUCCCAAGGAGUGGUCAUUUGGACCAUAAACUCCAAGGGAGUGCACUCUUGGAACCCCGAACACCCUAUAGCCUUGAAUAAUUACUAGGAUUGAAAUAAGGGCCUUAAAUUUCCAUAAAAACCAGAGGGUAGGAUUUUACGGCCGUGAAAUCCCACAGGGGUGGUUCAUGGGCCGUAAACUCCCAUAUGGUCCCUUUAAAAGCCCUAAACCCACUCAUACAAUUUAGAUUUGGACCUAGCAAAAUUCCUCGAUGAAGAUAAAGCCUUUAAGCAUCCUAGAACACCCUCACCAUGAGUUUACGGCCGUAAACUCAUGGGGAGUUGUCCCAGGGCCGAGAACUCUAUGUAUAGGUAUUACUCUUGAAGAGUAAACUCCAUUCCUAAGUCAUUCAAGCCCUUAAUUGUUACCCGGGACACCCCAAACAGUUAACCAAAGUGUUUUCCGCUCUUUAGGGUGCGUACACUUGUUUAAUUAGUAUUAUAUAUAUACUAAUUGUAUGUGAACAUAUGUUAUCAUAUGUUAAAUAGGUCACUAAGUGUGUCCAAGUCUUUACUUGACACCGAGCACCCAACCGGCACCUCCGUCGGAUCCGCUUACAUCAGGUGAGUUCAUACCCCUGAAUGAACCUUUUAAAUGUUUUUACAUGUUUUAUAGGGGGGAAUACAAUUUAAACAUGCCAGUUAUCAUAUCAAUCACAUGUGUUUGAUAACCCGCAUGCACAAGAAUUUACCACACUGUAAACUGUUUUACCAAGUAGGAUACUAUAAAUGGUUUUCCAAAAGGUUUUCACUGGUUCAAAACUCUUACUUAUACUGUUUUAUCAAAGUUCAUUUCAAACUGGUUUUUGAGAAGUUUCUAAGGAAUUUCUAAAGGUUUUCAAACUUAUUUUACCANCUUAUUUUACCAAAGUUGUGAUUUUCUCAAGUUUAAAGGUUUUCUUCCAUGUUUUGAUACUCCCUCUUAGUUUAAACUCCUACUUGAUAACGCUUUCACUUUGUGAUGCAUUUAUAACUGUUAUUGCCCCUAUUUCGCUUAUACUUGUAGUCGCUUAUGCCUAUUAGACGCUCUUACUUCACUUGUUGCCGUUUCCACUUCGUGAUAAACUUAUAUUUGGUAACGCUUAUACUUCACGAUUCGGUUAUUCCACACGAUUCGGUUAUUCACACUGUUUGGUUAUACAUAACGAUUCGGUUAUUCACACUGUUCGGUUAUACAUAACGAUUCGGUUAUUCACACUGUUCGGUUAUACAUCACGAUUCGGUUAUUCACACUGUUCGGUUAUACAUCACGAUUCGGUUAUUCACACUGUUCGCUUAUACAUCAUGAUUCGGUUAGUCACACUGUUCUCUUAUACUUCACAAUUUGGUUAUUCCACACGAUUUGGUUAUAUAUCACAAUUCGGUUANNNNNNNNNNNNNNNNNNNNNNNNNNNNNNNNNNNNNNNNNNNNNNNNNNNNNNNNNNNNNNNNNNNNNNNNNNNNNNNNNNNNNNNNNNNNNNNNNNNNAAACAUAAAGUCAAAAUACUAUAGGAGUAUUUUGGAACAGUAAAAAAUUCACACUAAUCCCAGAACUAUAUUCAGAAGAUAAGAACAAAACAAGAAAUUAAAAUACCAUAGGGGUAUUUUAGGAUACAUAGAUAACCCUGUGUGAAGAACUAAAAAGAUCCUUAUUGAUAUACCUACAACUAUAGAGGGUAUACUUCCAAGGUUAUAUAUAAUAAGGAUCCCAUAGGCUAAGAAUGUGUGGUUUCGCUCUACUUCCUUUUCCUUGUUUGGAUGUGGAUACCGAGUAGUAUCACAUAUUCGAAGGCCUGUCGGAUUUAAGUUAUAUAUGAUUUGUAUACCCUACGUAAUUGUAGCAGGACUCGAUAUGGAUCACUCAGUGAAAUGUUAAUAAUCUCUUAGGAUUCUUUAGACAUUUCCAUUCUCGCACGAACCCUGUAGCCAACCCUAUCCACUUCAGUGCUUGACAGAAGAGUUGAUNNNNNNNNNNNNNNNNNNNNNNNNNNNNNNNNNNNNNNNNNNNNNNNNNNNNNNNNNNNNNNNNNNNNNNNNNNNNNNNNNNNNNNNNNNNNNNNNNNNNNNNNNNNNNNNNNNNNNNNNNNNNNNNNNNNNNNNNNNNNNNNNNNNNNNNNNNNNNNNNNNNNNNNNNNNNNNNNNNNNNNNNNNNNNNNNNNNNNNNNNNNNNNNNNNNNNNNNNNNNNNNNNNNNNNNNNNNNNNNNNNNNNNNNNNGGUCCCAGUCAAAGAUACGAGGUAGACAGAGGGAGCCAGUACAUGGAACCCAAGAAGUGUCUUUUCCUCGUGUUCAUCAAGCUAAUACACCCAUAAAAUAAUACAAAUUUACUGAGUUAGUUGUUACACUACUCACGCUAUGUGUUAGGUAAAUCGUCGUUUCCUGAUGCCAGUAACACGAUUAGAGCGGAUCCCCGCACCUCUAUUGAAAGUAUUUAGCCAUAAGCCUUCAUGAGCCUCUCUUUCCGCAGUUUCAUUCCGAACUAUUCUCAAAUCUAUCCAGACCGGAAAGUGGAACCUUUCCCAGUAUAAAGGUAACGUAGUAGAAUCGACUCGCAUCUUAUGGCUCUUUCUGAUACUCGUACUCCUACCAUGUACACCAGGACUACAUCAUAGGGAUGUAGGUCGGCACUCAGACAACCAACAUCCGAGGCACGGGAAAGUUUAUGCCUAAUACAGUCAGGACAGAUAUGUCCAGGGCUAGCCAUCGUCUCUCAUUAUCUUGUAUUCCUUUCCGUGUAGGACAGAAGUGUAACCAGUCCACAAGCAAGAAACCUACUCUCUUAUUCGAUGAAGCUACGUUCCAAGCUGCGGUCUCGGCAGCCGUAGCAGCUGUCAUGGCUCACCUGAAUGCAAACAACGCUAAUGUCAGCAAGGGCCUUAUCGGGAUUUCUGAUCCUAGAAAUGGACAACAACAACCAACACCUGCAUACCCAGCCACCCAAGAACCUCAACCGAAUACACUAAAGAGAAAACUCAAGAUCGGGGAAGGAGGUACAUCGGCUCAAGGACCUUCCGAAGGUCAACGAGCUGAGACAGUCGAUACCCCUGUCAAUCCUUCCCUCCUGACUCCAAGACGGCCAUACUUAGGAAGCCUUACCCACUGCGGAAAGUGUAGCUACCAUCAUCAUGGUAUAUGUCGGGAACUCUUAUAUGCUAGGUGCAACAUGAAGGGGCAUACUGCUCGCGUAUGCAGAACUCCGGUGGAGCGUAUUGCAUCAAUCACCAAUGUGACGACCAAUCCAGUCUGCCGUCUAUGUGGUGAGAUUGGACACUUCAAAAGGGAUUGCCCAACUGAAGAAAACAACAAAGACACAAGAGGAGCCUAACUCUACUGCUUAGGGAGAAGCAUCAAGGAACCUGGUAGAUUUUUGGUACGCCCUUCGAUCUCAGGUGACUAAACCGGAAACAUUAAAAGACUAAUGCAAAUGUAAAUACUUCCCCAUUAAGGCGAAAGUCGCAGCAUUGUUAUAAAAUUUAAAAUUCAUCAGGUAAAACUAUAAUGGCUAAACAUAUACGUUACGGCCAUGUAUAGUUAAGAUGGAUAGACCUAGAGUGAUUGAAUGCCGCCUCAUUUCCUGUUCCUCGUUUGGUUGUGGAUUUAGGGCGGAGUCACUCAGUCAACAGUCCUCCCCACCUUAACUAUACAUGACUAGUAUAUGUUAGGCGAUUAUAGAAAUGCCUCGUGAGAAUCCAUUCAUGAAAAGGUACUCUACUCGGAAACACUUAGGACUCUCUAUAGUUCCGCGUCGACUCUAUUGGUCCAAGUAUCCACGACAGUGAUACACAGGACGAAACCUGAGACGCCUAGAACUUGUGUGCCUGUUCGGCGCAUGACUCUAUCGAUCCUCACUUUAUGUCAUGUCGAAGUAUGCCAAUAUCGACGACUCUAUUGAUCACGGUUUGACGUAGUGCAACCAUGUGUACAUCCCUAGUGCUGUGUAAAAAGAACUUUCUCCGUAGCCAUUUCGGCAAAUAAAGGUUCUCCCGAACCUAAACAUAAUACAAAUAAUCAAACCUAACACGAUCUGUCAGUCGUCCCUCUUAUCUCAAACCUUCUAAAGUACCCGAGAGAAGGGUACCACGCGCUGUUGACCAACCCCUUUUAGACAGAUGGAAACCGAAGAGAAAGACACUGCGAGAUACUCCAGAAGACGAUAACCAUCUGAAACAUACCUCGUAGAUUCCCCAGAAAGACCCUUCGCACCUCGCACAUCAGGUUCGUGAACCCUGUGCGUCCUCCCUACUCCCUGUUCCUCGUUGGGAUGUGGGUCUGGGGUGGAGUCGCACAACUGAACAUCCUGCCGACCUCAAUUAUAUACAGCUUACAUACACCAAGUAUUAGUGGUUAAGCCAAGUAUGAGCUCUAUCACGAACCUCAUAGUAAGACCCUUCAUCAUAUUCCAUAAAAUAGGAGUUGGAGUCAAGAGAACCAUUGCGGGUUGAGCUACUAUAAUGACUACAAAUCCGAAAUUUGUUGUCAUACCAGUUAAGCCAACACAGUAGCUAACACCCUCAGUUAGUAAAGAGAUUAAAGUUCCGAGUGAUGGGAACCUAUACUCACUAGAUUUGACCUAGACCAAGACAACUUAGAACCUUCGGAAGAGUAGUUGCAGUAGAUGCCCGCACUACUCAGUCACUUCGUCCACCCUGUUAUAGACUAGUAGUGCCCAAGAUCCUCCGCCCUCUCGCAUGGAGGAAGUCACCGUCGCCUUGUAGACGAUAGACUACAUUCUCCGAAGUAAACACUAGGAUACCGAGAACCACAAGAUAACCUCCGCAGCAAAGAAUACUCGAUCAAAGUGCGAAAGUAGUUGCAUUAAGCCUUAUAACCCAGAUCCCGAAGAGAUUGUAGACUUGACACCAGUCUAGGUGUUAGUCGAUGGGUUAUACAAGAGCAACCGCUUUCCGCACUAGAAUAAACCAAAGUCUUAGAGAUUCAUUGGACUACUAGGUGUUCCACGAAUACUAUCUCACGCAGAAAUAGUAGAACCACCUCCCGAGAUAGUCCAACACUCGUCUGGUGAAACCCUAUCUCCCCGACCCUAAGGGUUUCCAUACCUCAAGAUUUGUUAGUGCAGGUUCAUUUUGCACGAGCUUGAGAUAGACACUCUACAGCAAACAGAUACCAUAGACACGCAACCCAUCCGAUGAUCUAGAAAGCCUCUAAAAGCCAAUUGACAGGAAACGCGAAACCAAAGACAACCCGAUCUUCCUAAGAACCAACCUGAAGGACUACGCAUCCAGUACGAGUGAGAACGUUAGGAACUUUGGAAUGGCGAUCACGCCGGUGAUGAUCUUGCCGUAGAAGUACACUAUGUUCUAGGUACUGAAAAGUUCUACCCUUCCGAGAGCUUAGGACCAUCAGAGAAUCCUCGCGGAGAUUUGGUCCAACCCUCGUCGGACCACUACUACUUCCGGAUAUUCCACAAGUUUCACACCCGAUCGAUCCACUUCUUAGACUUGAUCAGUGUUGUCCGACGUCACUUUUGUAUCCCACUCGUCUUGAUAGAAACCAUUGAGAACCCUAACCUCGUAGAUACACCAGUCGGAACUCGCUAACUACACGAGAUGGAAAUCCGCAUCCUGUAGGUGAAGGUUUGUUGGAAUGACAAACACAGACCAGAGUUCACUUGGGAAUGCGGAGACAAACCGAAUAGGAAGUCCCCUCCUGCCUCUAUCAUUCAUACCUAAUUCGUUGCCUAGACCUGAAUUUCGGGACGAAAUUCCCUCUAACGGGGGGAUGAUGUGACAACCCAAAGUUUAUUCCGUCACAUUACCCCGUUACCG
RNAcentral lists this long non-coding RNA (7400 nucleotides) under Lactuca sativa (garden lettuce). RNAcentral's name for it is "long non-coding RNA (LSAT_LNC001270)". Lineage: Eukaryota; Viridiplantae; Streptophyta; Magnoliopsida; Asterales; Asteraceae. The record is from RNAcentral.